Long non-coding RNA from Lagopus muta (rock ptarmigan), 2632 nucleotides. RefSeq lists it as uncharacterized. The transcript is spliced from 3 exons. The record is from RefSeq and is a predicted model, not a curated record. NCBI's taxonomy places the organism in Eukaryota, Metazoa, Chordata, Aves, Galliformes, Phasianidae.
CCUUUUGGGGGCUGGCUGCUGGUGAUUAUUUAACAACCUAUCUCUUGUUCUGCAUCAUCUUACAAUUUUUUUUCUCUUCUUGUCAUAGUUAUCCAGACAGAUCAGUGAAUCAGAAACAUCCUUGUAAAUAAUAUGCAGUGUAUAGCUUUCCUAAUGGGAGGAUUCAAAAAAGCCAUUAUAAAAAUAAGAAAACAAAGACUGAGAAAUCUUCCUCUUGUUGUACAAGGCAAUCUUUGUCAGCUACUAUUGGAGACAAGAGACCUUUGGACCAGCACAGCCAAAGUGUUAUGGUGUUAAAACAACAUUAAUUUUCUCACUCAGCCUCACUCAAUCCAGACAAUUUUCCUUGGAGACAAUCAGGACAUAAUCAAGAGCAGUCAGGCUCCUGGGUAGGAGGAGGUGGUGAUAGGAAUGGCUAUUACAAAUCAAUUUGCAGAAGAUCUGUUUCUAACAUAUGUGACAAAGCGCACAGAUUUGGAGGUCUAGUUCAGAUUUUUUUCAGUUAAAUAGUUAUAGUACCAAAUAUAUUUAUUUCUGCCCUUGCCUAUAGCUAGAGAAACAACAUUUUACACAGACUCAGCUUAACCAUUCCAUGGUUGCACCAUCUGAGCAACAGACCUGGCUAAACACAGAAACGACAGAAGGAUUUUUUCUUACAAGUGGGGAGGCUUAAUGCAGAUGAAGUGGCCAUAUGGAGUGAAAAACAUAACCAUUAAGAAGAUGGAAAGAUACUAUUAGCACAAGGAUUCCCAAAGUUUGUUUAUGGAAAGCUGGCACAAAAGCAGGGCAUCAAGCCACAGCACCUAAAAUAAUAAACCUGUAAUUCACAGAUCGUCUCCAUUCUCAGCACCCUAAAUCUUUCAGUGGCCUCUUUCUUGCUGCUCUCCAAAGCAGAAGGGUGAGCUACAGGUUCUUGGCGCUUUCAGAGAAAUGAAAGCAGCGGAGUGGUGCAAUUUGUUGAUAUUAUGAUACAUUCAUUUCUCUGGACUCUCUGGGUCCCAGAAGUCUCAGCAAACACUUUGCAUGCAUGUAGAAGACGUUAUAGCUGUAAUAGCCUGAGACAUCACCUGAAUUUAUCCAGGAUGGCUGCAGCUAAUGUCAGCUUGUGGGUCUUACCCAAUGGUGUCCCAGGUUGCCCUUCGGGGACUUUGCACCUGAAGAGGCAAACGAGAAGUCCUGGUGAGGGAAUGAUGUCCAGAAGUGAAAAACUGGAUGGAACUCUGGCUAGAUAAGCAGAAGCUGGGUAAAAUAACAAAGGUGUUGUCAAAAAAAAAACAACAGUAUAGCAGACAAAGAAACAAAACCAAAUGACCUAGGAUUUGAAAGAGCUUACAGGUUAAGAUUUCAUUCAGAGUGUAAGGAAGAGACCAGUAUUACUCCUCCACUGAUCACAAGUGGUGUUUCAUAACAGUCCUACAGCAGGUACACUCUCAUGCAAAAGACACUCCCAGUCUGAUAAGAGACAGUUUUUCAUUAAUCUCAGUAAUAAUCACAGCAGAUACGGAACUGUAGGCAGCUAAAAUGGACCGAUCAGUAGCUGUCAAAAGCAUUUUUUGGGACCAAAAAACAGAGAAACUUGAAUGGCAUCUGCAAACUGUUCAAAGGCACUUGAGUGGACAAACAGAGUUGUACAUUCACAGCAUGGAUAACAGACCACAGAGACAGAAACUCAGAAACAGACAAACCUUUUGGCAUGAAAAUUAUGAUAGACCUGGGACAUGUCUACACUGGGAAUGAAGGCGUGGUGCAGAAAUCCCCAGAGGAGUGAAUGAGCUAGCUCCAAACGUUGAGCUGGAACAACUGUGUUUGCAUGAAGUUACUGACAGGCAUCUUCAGUAAGCCUCUAUCCAACCGUGGGCAAAUGUUGAUGGACCAUUAGCUUUCCAGCUGGCUGCAAUGUGAUGCUGCGCUACUUGGGUGAUAUCUGAACCCAUGUCUAACUUAAAGUACAGCUCAGAUGAGAUUGAUGAAGUAUCUAGUGGUAGCUGACUCUGACUGGACAUCAAAGUUUGGAUGACUGUUUUGUUGCCUCAUUUUUUUUUCUUUCCACUCGGAUUUUUUACAGUUUCAGUCUUUAAGAGGAAGAUGAUCAAAGCUAGUCCAAGUCAAUUUAAUGAACACUACACGUCCUUGCUAUUCCACAGGAGAAGGCAUGGUAAAGCUGGUUGAACUUCAUUCCUUGCAUCAAAUGUCAGAAAUGUUGUUAAAUGGAAGGUUAGUUAAUCAUUUCAGAUUCCAUUUAUCUUAUCACAUGCAUUUACAUAAAGGUAAUUAUUUAUAUGGUACACUAAUUUGUUUGUAUUCCCGAUGGAAAAAAUUCUAGUUUAAUAGAAUGAAACCAGCGGUCACCCAGAAGGUGAAUUAAUGCUCCAGUGCUACCUUGUGCUACAGUUUCCAGUGGGAUGGGGAGAUGACCUCUGACCUGUCCUUGCUUGCAGGUAGGAAUCAAAGUGAUGAGGAAUUCAGGGAAAAAAAAGGAGAGAGCGAGGAAGAAAGAAUGCACUCACAAGCAUCCUCAAUAUAGGCUUGUAACCUAAAAGCAGAGUUCAAUCUCUUUGUGAAUCCUUUGCUAUGGAAACCACAAUUGAGCUGCUUUCUGUAUUUCCCAUUCUUGAUGGAAGGCCUAAUUCUU